This 253-nucleotide ribosomal RNA is filed under the name uncultured bacterium. Its description in RNAcentral is "partial 16S ribosomal RNA". It matches the Rfam family "Bacterial small subunit ribosomal RNA", at positions 524 to 776 of the family's 1533-position model. The record is from RNAcentral.
UACGUAGGUCCCGAACGUUGCGCGACUUUACUGGGCGUAAAGGGUCCGUAGGCGGUUUAGCAAGUGGUUGGCGAAAUUUCACGGCUCAACCGUGAAACUGCCUUCCAAACUGCUAAACUUGAGGCAGGGAGAGGUCGGCGGAAUUCCCGGUGUAGGGGUGAAAUGCGUAGAUAUCGGGAGGAACACCAGUGGCGAAGGCGGCCGACUGGAACUGUUCUGACGCUGAGGGACGAAAGCUAGGGGAGCAAACCGG